Drosophila rhopaloa is the source of this 130-nucleotide small nucleolar RNA. RefSeq annotates it as small nucleolar RNA psi28S-3316. Lineage: Eukaryota; Metazoa; Arthropoda; Insecta; Diptera; Drosophilidae. The record is from RefSeq and is a predicted model, not a curated record. The transcript has a single exon.
UGCACCUAAAAGCGUUUUCUUGUCAGCCUGUUAAAUGCUCCUGAAAAUCGUAGAUGUGUGCUAAAGCAAUCGUCGCAAUAGCAUGUGAUUUUAGUUCUUUGACUCUAAUCCGUUUAGAUUGUGAACAGUA